This 302-nucleotide ribosomal RNA is filed under the name uncultured bacterium. RNAcentral describes it as "partial 16S ribosomal RNA". It matches the Rfam family "Bacterial small subunit ribosomal RNA", at positions 508 to 809 of the family's 1533-position model. The record is from RNAcentral.
GCAGUAGCCGCGGUAAUACGAGGGGUGCAAGCGUUAUUCGGAUUGAUUGGGUGUAAAGGGUGUGCAGACGGCUUAUUAAGUCACUUGUUAAAUUCUUCGGCCUAACUGAAGGUCUGCAAGUGAUACUGAUGAGCUAGAGGGUGGAAGAGAGAAGUGGAAUUCUCGGAGUAGCGGUAAAAUGCGUAGAUCUCGAGAGGAACACCAAUGGCGAAGGCAGCUUCUUGGUCCAUUCCUGACGUUCAUACACGAAAGCGUGGGGAGCAAACAGGAUUAGAUACCCCCGUAGUCCCUGUCUCUUAUAA